This 312-nucleotide unclassified non-coding RNA is filed under the name Basidiomycota sp. RNAcentral's name for it is "partial contains small subunit ribosomal RNA, internal transcribed spacer 1, and 5.8S ribosomal RNA". The stretch from base 1 to 47 matches the Rfam family "Eukaryotic small subunit ribosomal RNA", at positions 1785 to 1831 of the family's 1831-position model. The record is from RNAcentral. Lineage: Eukaryota; Fungi; Basidiomycota.
AAAGUCGUAACAAGGUUUCCGUAGGUGAACCUGCGGAAGGAUCAUUAUUGAAAUAAACCUGAUGAGUUGCUGCUGGUUCUCUAGGGAGCAUGUGCACACUUGUCAUCUUUAUAUCUCCACCUGUGCACCUUUUGUAGACCUGGAUAUCUCUCUGAAUGCUAGUCAUUCAGGUUUGAGGAUUGACUUUAUGUCUCUCCUUGCAUUUCCAGGCCUAUGUUUCUUUAUAUACCCAAUGUAUGUCAUAGAAUGUAAUCAAUGGGCCUUUGUGCCUAUAAACCUAUACAACUUUCAGCAACGGAUCUCUUGGCUCUC